CCUGUCCCUAGAGGCAUUGCAGGAGUGGGGGCUGUGUCACAUGUGUGUAGGUGGCAGAGAGGACAGAGGCUAUGUCUAUACUCAGGGCUCUGACCUGUGACCAUCUGAAUGAGUAGUAGCUUAACACG
Molecule: small nucleolar RNA, 128 nt
Organism: Acomys russatus (golden spiny mouse)
Lineage: Eukaryota; Metazoa; Chordata; Mammalia; Rodentia; Muridae
Product: small nucleolar RNA SNORA17
Exons: 1
Source: RefSeq, a predicted model, not a curated record